Molecule: ribosomal RNA, 253 nt
Filed under: uncultured bacterium
Lineage: Bacteria
Description: partial 16S ribosomal RNA
Rfam family: Bacterial small subunit ribosomal RNA
Source: RNAcentral
UACGGAGGGUCCAAGCGUUAUCCGGAAUCAUUGGGUUUAAAGGGUCCGUAGGCGGUUUUGUAAGUCAGUGGUGAAAGCCCAUCGCUCAACGGUGGAACGGCCAUUGAUACUGCAAGACUUGAAUUAUUAGGAAGUAACUAGAAUAUGUAGUGUAGCGGUGAAAUGCUUAGAUACUACAUGGAAUACCAAUUGCGAAGGCAGGUUACUACUAAUAUAUUGACGCUGAUGGACGAAAGCGUGGGGAGCGAACAGG